Molecule: ribosomal RNA, 304 nt
Filed under: uncultured bacterium
Lineage: Bacteria
Description: partial 16S ribosomal RNA
Rfam family: Bacterial small subunit ribosomal RNA
Source: RNAcentral
CAGCAGCCGCCGCGGGAAUACAGAGGGUGCGAGCGUUAAUCGGAUUUACUGGGCGUAAAGCGUGCGUAGGCGGCUUUUUAAGUCGGAUGUGAAAUCCCUGAGCUUAACUUAGGAAUUGCAUUCGAUACUGGGAAGCUAGAGUAUGGGAGAGGAUGGUAGAAUUCCAGGUGUAGCGGUGAAAUGCGUAGAGAUCUGGAGGAAUACCGAUGGCGAAGGCAGCCAUCUGGCCUAAUACUGACGCUGAGGUACGAAAGCAUGGGGAGCAAACAGGAUUAGAUACCCCCGUAGUCCCUGUCUCUUAUAA